UGCUAUCGUACAGGCUACGUCCUCUCUAGC
This 30-nucleotide non-coding RNA is filed under the name Rattus norvegicus (Norway rat). The record is from RNAcentral. Lineage: Eukaryota; Metazoa; Chordata; Mammalia; Rodentia; Muridae.